UACGUAGGGGGCAAGCGUUGUCCGGAAUCAUUGGGCGUAAAGAGCGUGUAGGCGGUCCGGUAAGUCGGCUGUGAAAGUCCAGGGCUCAACCCUGGGAUGCCGGUCGAUACUGCCGGACUAGAGUUCGGAAGAGGCGAGUGGAAUUCCCGGUGUAGAGGUGAAAUGCGCAGAUAUCGGGAGGAACACCAAUGGCGAAGGCAGCUCGCUGGGACGUUACUGACGCUGAGACGCGAAAGCGUGGGGAGCAAACAGG
This 253-nucleotide ribosomal RNA is filed under the name uncultured bacterium. RNAcentral describes it as "partial 16S ribosomal RNA". It matches the Rfam family "Bacterial small subunit ribosomal RNA", at positions 524 to 776 of the family's 1533-position model. The record is from RNAcentral.